Molecule: ribosomal RNA, 253 nt
Filed under: uncultured bacterium
Lineage: Bacteria
Description: partial 16S ribosomal RNA
Rfam family: Bacterial small subunit ribosomal RNA
Source: RNAcentral
UACGUAGGGGGCAAGCGUUGUCCGGAUUUAUUGGGCGUAAAGAGCGUGUAGGCGGCCUGGUAGGUCAGCUGUGAAAACUCGAGGCUCAACCUCGAGACGCCGGUUGAAACCAUCAGGCUAGAGUCCGGAAGAGGAGAGUGGAAUUCCCGGUGUAGCGGUGAAAUGCGCAGAUAUCAGGAAGAACACCUAUGGCGAAGGCAGCUCUCUGGGACGGUACUGACGCUGAGACGCGAAAGCGUGGGGAGCGAACAGG